Molecule: ribosomal RNA, 500 nt
Filed under: uncultured bacterium
Lineage: Bacteria
Description: bacterial SSU rRNA
Rfam family: Bacterial small subunit ribosomal RNA
Source: RNAcentral
UCAGGAUGAACGCUGGCGGCGUGCUUAGCACAUGCAAGUCGAACGAAGCUCUUACGUUGAGUCUUCGGGAUGAAGUGUAAGAUGACUAGUGGCGGACGGGUGAGUAACGCGUGAGGAACCUGCCUUGCAGUGGGGAAUAACAGAUGGAAACGUCUGCUAAUACCGCAUAAUACGAAGGGACCGCAUGAUUUCUUCGUCAAAGAUUUAUCGCUGUGAGAUGGCCUCGCGUCUGAUUAGCUGGUUCCGGUGAGGUAACGGCUCACCAAGGCGACGAUCAGUAGCCGGACUGAGAGGUUGAUCGGCCACAUUGGGACUGAGACACGGCCCAGACUCCUACGGGAGGCAGCGAGUGGGGAAUAUUGGGCAAGUGGGCGCAAGCCUGAACCCCCAGCAACGCCGCGUGAAGGAAGAAGGCUUUCGGGUUGUAAACUUCUUUUAUCAGGGACGAUAAUGACGGUACCUGAUGAAUAAGCUCCGGCUAACUACGUGCCAGCAGCUGC